Cavia porcellus (domestic guinea pig) is the source of this 491-nucleotide non-coding RNA. The record is from the annotation of a RefSeq genome assembly. Lineage: Eukaryota; Metazoa; Chordata; Mammalia; Rodentia; Caviidae.
UGCUAAUUUGCAUAUCCCAAGAUCCCAGCCAGCUACAUGUGGACUUAUUUACAGGCUGCCGUUCUCACCCUGUGCAGCUUCAUUCCAGGUCAGGACACAGCAUGGACAUGAGGGUCCCCGCUCACUUUCUGGGCCUCUUGGUGUUCUGGAUAUCAGGUGCCAGAUGUGACAUCCAAUUGACACAGCCUGCAUCUGCAUCUGCAUCUGUGGGAGACACAGUCAAGAUCAGUUGCCAGGCCAGUCAGAGUGUUAGCAGUCUCUUAAACUGGUAUCAGCAGAAACCAGGGCAAGCUCCUAAACUCCUGAUCUAUUGGGCAACCAAUUUGCAGUCUGGGGUCCCAUCAAGGUUCAGUGGCAGUGGAUCUGGGACAGAUUUCACCCUCACCAUCAGCAGCGUGAAUCCUGAAGACUUUGCAACUUAUUACUGUCAACAGAGUAAGAGUAACCCUCCCACAGUGAUACAAGCCAUGACAUAAACCUCCCAGGGAAGC